UUAGGGUUUGAUCCUGGCUCAGAUUGAACGCUGGCGGCAGGCCUAACACAUGCAAGUCGAGCGGUAGCACAGAGAGCUUGCUCUCGGGUGACGAGCGGCGGACGGGUGAGUAAUGUCUGGGAAACUGCCUGAUGGAGGGGGAUAACUACUGGAAACGGUAGCUAAUACCGCAUAAUGUCGCAAGACCAAAGUGGGGGACCUUCGGGCCUCAUGCCAUCAGAUGUGCCCAGAUGGGAUUAGCUAGUAGGUGGGGUAACGGCUCACCUAGGCGACGAUCCCUAGCUGGUCUGAGAGGAUGACCAGCCACACUGGAACUGAGACACGGUCCAGACUCCUACGGGAGGCAGCAGUGGGGAAUAUUGCACAAUGGGCGCAAGCCUGAUGCAGCCAUGCCGCGUGUGUGAAGAAGGCCUUCGGGUUGUAAAGCACUUUCAGCGGGGAGGAAGGCGUUAAGGUUAAUAACCUUGGCGAUUGACGUUACCCGCAGAAGAAGCACCGGCUAACUCCGUGCCAGCAGCCGCGGUAAUACGGAGGGUGCAAGCGUUAAUCGGAAUUACUGGGCGUAAAGCGCACGCAGGCGGUCUGUCAAGUCGGAUGUGAAAUCCCCGGGCUCAACCUGGGAACUGCAUUCGAAACUGGCAGGCUAGAGUCUUGUAGAGGGGGGUAGAAUUCCAGGUGUAGCGGUGAAAUGCGUAGAGAUCUGGAGGAAUACCGGUGGCGAAGGCGGCCCCCUGGACAAAGACUGACGCUCAGGUGCGAAAGCGUGGGGAGCAAACAGGAUUAGAUACCCUGGUAGUCCACGCCGUAAACGAUGUCGAUUUGGAGGUUGUGCCCUUGAGGCGUGGCUUCCGGAGCUAACGCGUUAAAUCGACCGCCUGGGGAGUACGGCCGCAAGGUUAAAACUCAAAUGAAUUGACGGGGGCCCGCACAAGCGGUGGAGCAUGUGGUUUAAUUCGAUGCAACGCGAAGAACCUUACCUGGUCUUGACAUCCACAGAACUUUCCAGAGAUGGAUUGGUGCCUUCGGGAACUGUGAGACAGGUGCUGCAUGGCUGUCGUCAGCUCGUGUUGUGAAAUGUUGGGUUAAGUCCCGCAACGAGCGCAACCCUUAUCCUUUGUUGCCAGCGGUUAGGCCGGGAACUCAAAGGAGACUGCCAGUGAUAAACUGGAGGAAGGUGGGGAUGACGUCAAGUCAUCAUGGCCCUUACGACCAGGGCUACACACGUGCUACAAUGGCAUAUACAAAGAGAAGCGACCUCGCGAGAGCAAGCGGACCUCAUAAAGUAUGUCGUAGUCCGGAUUGGAGUCUGCAACUCGACUCCAUGAAGUCGGAAUCGCUAGUAAUCGUAGAUCAGAAUGCUACGGUGAAUACGUUCCCGGGCCUUGUACACACCGCCCGUCACACCAUGGGAGUGGGUUGCAAAAGAAGUAGGUAGCUUAACCUUCGGGAGGGCGCUUACCACUUUGUGAUUCAUGACUGGGGUGAAGUCGUAACAAGGUAACCGUAA
RNAcentral lists this ribosomal RNA (1507 nucleotides) under Klebsiella pneumoniae. Its description in RNAcentral is "bacterial SSU rRNA". It matches the Rfam family "Bacterial small subunit ribosomal RNA". The record is from RNAcentral. Lineage: Bacteria; Pseudomonadati; Pseudomonadota; Gammaproteobacteria; Enterobacterales; Enterobacteriaceae.